Molecule: small RNA, 524 nt
Filed under: Pan troglodytes (chimpanzee)
Lineage: Eukaryota; Metazoa; Chordata; Mammalia; Primates; Hominidae
Description: processed transcript
Source: RNAcentral
UGGCUUUGAAGAAACUAGCCCUGUUCAGCACUGUGCCAGUUUCCCCAUCUGCAGAAUGGCUGGCUCCAUGCUCCCUUAACAUACCUCCCAGUCUCAACCUCAAGGCAUCGUGGUUUGUUUGUGUGAACUGCGCUUAAUGGCCCUGUCAGCAAGGAGGUGAUGAUCAGGACAGGAUUCACUUCAGAGAGAAGAGCUGGUGCUCCCAUGAAGGACCAAAUGCCGUGUGUGGAGAGGGCCACAAGAGAAGGACCCAAGAGGGACCUCUACAAGCUGAGAGUUGAGAGUGGUCCCCUGCCAACAGAAAGUGAGAAAACAGGGCCUUGCUAACAUGGUCACAAGAAAAUGAAUUCUUCCAACAUCCAGAGGGAGCUUGGAAGUUGAUCUUUCUCUAGUCAAGCCUCCGUAUGAGAACACACCUGGCCAACACCUUGAUUUCAGACUUGUGGGAUCCCAAGCAGAGAACCCAGAUGAGCUGUGCCUAGACUUCUGACUUAGAGAAUUGUGAGCUAAUAAACAGGUGCUGU